RNAcentral lists this ribosomal RNA (447 nucleotides) under uncultured bacterium. RNAcentral describes it as "partial 16S ribosomal RNA". It matches the Rfam family "Bacterial small subunit ribosomal RNA", at positions 29 to 523 of the family's 1533-position model. The record is from RNAcentral.
AGCGAACGCUGGCGGCAGGCUUAACACAUGCAAGUCGAACGGUCCUUCGGGAUAGUGGCGGACGGGUGAGUAACACGUGGGAACGUACCCUUAGGUUCGGAACAACACAGGGAAACUUGUGCUAAUACCGGAUAAGCCCUUCGGGGGAAAGAUUUAUCGCCUUUGGAGCGGCCCGCGUCUGAUUAGCUUGUUGGUGAGGUAAUGGCUCACCAAGGCUACGAUCAGUAGCUGGUCUGAGAGGAUGGCCAGCCACACUGGGACUGAGACACGGCCCAGACUCCUACGGGAGGCAGCAGUGGGGGAUCUUGCGCAAUGGGCGAAAGCCUGACGCAGCCAUGCCGCGUGGAUGAUGAAGGUCUUAGGAUUGUAAAAUCCUUUUACCGGGGACGAUAAUGACGGUACCCGGAGAAGAAGCCCCGGCUAACUUCGUGCCAGCCGCCGCGGUAA